CCUACGGGUGGCAGCAGUGGGGAAUAUUGCGCAAUGGGCGAAAGCCUGACGCAGCGACGCCGCGUGGGUGAUGAAGGCCUUCGGGUCGUAAAGCCCUGUCAAGAGGGACGAAACCUCGCCGACCUAACACGUCGGCGACCUGACGGUACCUCUGAAGGAAGCACCGGCUAACUCCGUGCCAGCAGCCGCGGUAAUACGGAGGGUGCAAGCGUUGUUCGGAAUCACUGGGCGUAAAGCGCGUGUAGGCGGCCUUCUCAGUCUGGUGUGAAAGCCCGGGGCUCACCCCCGGAAGUGCAUUGGAUACUGGAAGGCUGGAGUACCGGAGAGGAGGGUGGAAUUCCUGGUGUAGCGGUGAAAUGCGUAGAUAUCAGGAGGAACACCGGUGGCGAAGGCGGCCCUCUGGACGGAUACUGACGCUGAGACGCGACAGCGUGGGGAGC
RNAcentral lists this ribosomal RNA (440 nucleotides) under uncultured bacterium. RNAcentral's name for it is "bacterial SSU rRNA". It matches the Rfam family "Bacterial small subunit ribosomal RNA", at positions 338 to 769 of the family's 1533-position model. The record is from RNAcentral.